Molecule: ribosomal RNA, 426 nt
Filed under: uncultured cyanobacterium
Lineage: Bacteria; Bacillati; Cyanobacteriota
Description: bacterial SSU rRNA
Rfam family: Bacterial small subunit ribosomal RNA
Source: RNAcentral
UUGGGGAAUUUUCCGCAAUGGGCGAAAGCCUGACGGAGCAACGCCGCGUGAGGGAGGAAGGUCUUUGGAUUGUAAACCUCUUUUCUCAAGGAAGAAGUUCUGACGGUACUUGAGGAAUCAGCCUCGGCUAACUCCGUGCCAGCAGCCGCGGUAAUACGGGGGAGGCAAGCGUUAUCCGGAAUUAUUGGGCGUAAAGCGUCCGCAGGUGGUCAGCCAAGUCUGCUGUCAAAUCAGGUUGCUUAACGACCUAAAGGCGGUGGAAACUGGCAGACUAGAGAGCAGUAGGGGUAGCAGGAAUUCCCAGUGUAGCGGUGAAAUGCGUAGAGAUUGGGAAGAACAUCGGUGGCGAAAGCGUGCUACUGGGCUGUAUCUGACACUCAGGGACGAAAGCUAGGGGAGCGAAAGGGAUUAGAUACCCCUAUAGUC